Molecule: ribosomal RNA, 881 nt
Filed under: uncultured bacterium
Lineage: Bacteria
Description: bacterial SSU rRNA
Rfam family: Bacterial small subunit ribosomal RNA
Source: RNAcentral
CAACAAUGACCGUGCCGUUGAAACUGUCAGUCUUGAGUGCAUCCAGUGCAGGCGGAAUUCGUGGUGUAGCGGUGAAAUGCUUAGAUAUCACGAAGAACUCCGAUUGCGAAGGCAGCUUGCUGGACCGUAACUGACGUUGAUGCUCGAAAGUGCGGGUAUCAAACAGGAUUAGAUACCCUGGUAGUCCGCACAGUAAACGAUGAAUACUCGCUGUUGGCGAUAUACUGCCAGCGGCCAAGCGAAAGCGUUAAGUAUUCCACCUGGGGAGUACGCCGGCAACGGUGAAACUCAAAGGAAUUGACGGGGGCCCGCACAAGCGGAGGAACAUGUGGUUUAAUUCGAUGAUACGCGAGGAACCUUACCCGGGCUUGAACUGCAGCGGAAUGAUUUGGAAACAGAUCAGCGAGCAAUCGCCGCUGUGGAGGUGCUGCAUGGUUGUCGUCAGCUCGUGCCGUGAGGUGUCGGCUUAAGUGCCAUAACGAGCGCAACCCUUACCGAUAGUUGCCAUCAGGUGACGCUGGGGACUCUAUCGGGACUGCCGUCGUAAGAUGUGAGGAAGGUGGGGAUGACGUCAAAUCAGCACGGCCCUUACGUCCGGGGCUACACACGUGUUACAAUGGGAGGUCACAGAGGGCUGCUACCCGGCGACGGGACGCCAAUCCCCAAACCCUCCCUCAGUACGGACUGGAGUCUGCAACCCGACUCCACGAAGCUGGAUUCGCUAGUAAUCGCGCAUCAGCCACGGCGCGGUGAAUACGUUCCCGGGCCUUGUACACACCGCCCGUCAAGCCAUGAAAGCCGGNNNNNCCUGAAGUGCGUAACCGCAAGGGGCGCCCUAGGGUAAAGCCGGUGAUUGGGGCUGAGUCGUAACAAGGUAACCA